Molecule: long non-coding RNA, 1075 nt
Organism: Xiphophorus couchianus (Monterrey platyfish)
Lineage: Eukaryota; Metazoa; Chordata; Actinopteri; Cyprinodontiformes; Poeciliidae
Exons: 3
Source: RefSeq, a predicted model, not a curated record
AAGACUGAAGGUUGUCCUGCAAUAGUCAGCCCCGCCCACUCCUCACAACUCCUCUGAGCUGACUACUGACCAGUUCUCUGUCUAACAGGUCCGGAAUAUCUCUAAGACCUGGGUCUUACCCUACAGGAGGUCUAUGAGAGAUAACCUGUUUAAACUGGUGGUGAGAGAGGCUUGUCUAGCUCUAACUACCUUCGAUCCAGAAGUUACGACCCUCUACAGUUAAGGAACAGUCAACUGAGUAGCCCUCACAGCUGCGAAUUCCCAACAACCACUUCUGUUAAUGGUAACCCCCUCUCUUAAAUAACCUGCACUUGGAAAUGGCUAGAUUAGAUUUAGUGACUUAGAUUCAAGUCCCAGGGUCGUUAUUUUUAUACUCACUAAAGGAAAGUCCGAAGCCACCACAUUACUGGAAUCAUGUACACUAAUUUUACUUUAAUUGGAGAAACUAAAAUAACCAAUGACCCAAUUAAUUUCAAUGUCCACCAACCUCUACAAAAUUUUAAAAAGAUAUAUUUUAUUAAGCAAGCUUUAGCAGGGAUAAGUGACAUACAGAUUAAUUAUUAGAGAUUACAUUUCUAAUUUAAAAUAAUAAAAUCAACAUAAACCAAACAUUUCAUCCUAACUCCCUUCCCUGACCUGUGUCACUAGUAAACUGAGAGAUGCUUUUGGGGAGCAGUUCAACUCAUACCCAGAUGGCAGUUGAUCUUGGCAACAGAAGUCUUUAAUUCCUUGGUUCAGAAUCUUUGUCUUUGUGUAGUAAAAUCCUCUUUAGAAUAGAAGCAAAGCUGAAUUGGUCCUUGUCCUUUGAACAUCCAAUUCUUCAUCCCUCCCGGGAUCUUUGUCUUUUCUCCAAGUCCGUUGCGGUUGGUUUGAGGUCGUUGGGUUGAGGCAGAGUCGGCGGUAGAAUCAGGAGCCGGGGCUGGGGGCUGAUGGAUCUUGUCCCUUCUUGGCGGCGCGAAGUCUCAACUUCCCCGUGGCUCUAGGGUGGGGUCCUCUGCUGAUGUUUCCUCUGCGUCCUCUUGUUGAUUCGUCUUGGCGCCGCGGACUAAGAGCGGUUUCUUCCUCUUUCUGCCGU